RNAcentral lists this ribosomal RNA (700 nucleotides) under Pseudoxanthomonas sp. RNAcentral describes it as "bacterial SSU rRNA". It matches the Rfam family "Bacterial small subunit ribosomal RNA", at positions 68 to 760 of the family's 1533-position model. The record is from RNAcentral. Lineage: Bacteria; Pseudomonadati; Pseudomonadota; Gammaproteobacteria; Lysobacterales; Lysobacteraceae.
AGCACAGGAGAGCUUGCUCUCUGGGUGGCGAGUGGCGGACGGGUGAGGAAUACAUCGGAAUCUACCUUUUCGUGGGGGAUAACGUAGGGAAACUUACGCUAAUACCGCAUACGACCUUCGGGUGAAAGUGGGGGACCUUCGGGCCUCACGCGAUUAGAUGAGCCGAUGUCGGAUUAGCUAGUUGGCGGGGUAAUGGCCCACCAAGGCGACGAUCCGUAGCUGGUCUGAGAGGAUGAUCAGCCACACUGGAACUGAGACACGGUCCAGACUCCUACGGGAGGCAGCAGUGGGGAAUAUUGGACAAUGGGCGCAAGCCUGAUCCAGCCAUACCGCGUGGGUGAAGAAGGCCUUCGGGUUGUAAAGCCCUUUUGUUGGGAAAGAAAUCCUAUCGAUUAAUACUCGGUGGGGAUGACGGUACCCAAAGAAUAAGCACCGGCUAACUUCGUGCCAGCAGCCGCGGUAAUACGAAGGGUGCAAGCGUUACUCGGAAUUACUGGGCGUAAAGCGUGCGUAGGUGGUGGUUUAAGUCUGUCGUGAAAGCCCUGGGCUCAACCUGGGAAUUGCGAUGGAUACUGGAUCACUAGAGUGUGGUAGAGGGAUGCGGAAUUUCCGGUGUAGCAGUGAAAUGCGUAGAGAUCGGAAGGAACAUCUGUGGCGAAGGCGGCAUCCUGGGCCAACACUGACACUGAGGCACGAAAGC